This 253-nucleotide ribosomal RNA is filed under the name uncultured bacterium. RNAcentral describes it as "partial 16S ribosomal RNA". It matches the Rfam family "Bacterial small subunit ribosomal RNA", at positions 524 to 776 of the family's 1533-position model. The record is from RNAcentral.
UACGUAGGGCGCAAGCGUUGUCCGGAAUUAUUGGGCGUAAAGAGCUCGUAGGCGGCUUGUCACGUCGGGUGUGAAAGCCCGGGGCUUAACCCCGGGUCUGCAUUCGAUACGGGCUAGCUAGAGUGUGGUAGGGGAGAUCGGAAUUCCUGGUGUAGCGGUGAAAUGCGCAGAUAUCAGGAGGAACACCGGUGGCGAAGGCGGAUCUCUGGGCCAUUACUGACGCUGAGGUACGAAAGCUAGGGUAGCGAACGGG